ACAUGCAGUCGAGCGGAGUUGUUUUGAAAGCUUGCUUUCAAAACAACUUAGCGGCGGACGGGUGAGUAACACGUAGGUAACCUGCCUGUAAGACUGGGAUAACUACCGGAAACGGUAGCUAAUACCGGAUAAUUUGUUUCUUCUCAUGAAGAGACACUGAAAGGCGGAGUAAUCUGCCACUUAUAGAUGGGCCUGCGGCGCAUUAGCUAGUUGGUGAGGUAACGGCUCACCAAGGCGACGAUGCGUAGCCGACCUGAGAGGGUGAACGGCCACACUGGGACUGAGACACGGCCCAGACUCCUACGGGAGGCAGCAGUAGGGAAUCUUCCGCAAUGGACGAAAGUCUGACGGAGCAAUGCCGCGUGAGUGAUGAAGGUUUUCGGAUCGUAAAGCUCUGUUGCCAGGGAAGAACGCUUGGGAGAGUAACUGCUCUCAAGGUGACGGUACCUG
This 450-nucleotide ribosomal RNA is filed under the name Paenibacillus sp. BSF1(8). Its description in RNAcentral is "bacterial SSU rRNA". It matches the Rfam family "Bacterial small subunit ribosomal RNA", at positions 53 to 481 of the family's 1533-position model. Lineage: Bacteria; Bacillati; Bacillota; Bacilli; Caryophanales; Paenibacillaceae. The record is from RNAcentral.